CUCGUAGGUGGCCAACUAAGUCACACGUGAAAUCCCUCGGCUUAACCGGGGAACUGCGUGUGAUACUGGAUGGCUUGAGUUUGGGAGAGGGAUGCGGAAUUCCAGGUGUAGCGGUGAAAUGCGUAGAUAUCUGGAGGAACACCGGUGGCGAAGGCGGCAUCCUGGACCAAUACUGACGCUGAGGAGCGAAAGCCAGGGAGCAAACG
Molecule: ribosomal RNA, 206 nt
Filed under: uncultured bacterium
Lineage: Bacteria
Description: partial 16S ribosomal RNA
Rfam family: Bacterial small subunit ribosomal RNA
Source: RNAcentral